Non-coding RNA from Cinara cedri, 224 nucleotides. The record is from the annotation of a GenBank genome assembly. NCBI's taxonomy places the organism in Eukaryota, Metazoa, Arthropoda, Insecta, Hemiptera, Aphididae.
AAAAAAAUAUUUCAAUAAUACUUCACAUGGUACCACUUUUGAUUGUAUAUGCUCCGUCGUUAAUAAUCCGUGAUCAGAUUUUCAAUUUGCAUGCAAACACAGACUUUACAUUGGUUUAUGGUUACUGCAAAUUAAUAUAUAAUAAUGAUAGUUAUCCAUAUUCCUCCACCUAGUAGCUGUGUUUAUGAAUGAUACUGUUUUAAUGAAUUGACUAUUAAAUACGA